GACGAACGCUGGCGGCGUGCUUAACACAUGCAAGUCGAACGGUGAACCUCUUCGGAGGGGAUCAGUGGCGAACGGGUGAGUAACACGUGGGCAACCUGCCCCCGGCUCUGGGAUAACUCCAAGAAAUUGGGGCUAAUACCGGAUGUUCACCGCUUCCCGCAUGGGGGGUGGUGGAAAGGGUUUCCGGCUGGGGAUGGGCCCGCGGCCUAUCAGCUUGUUGGUGGGGUAGUGGCCUACCAAGGCGACGACGGGUAGCCGGCCUGAGAGGGUGACCGGCCACACUGGGACUGAGACACGGCCCAGACUCCUACGGGAGGCAGAAGUGGGGAAUAGUGCGCAAUGGGCGGAAGCCUGACGCAGCGACGCCGCGUGGGGGAUGACGGCCUUCGGGUUGUAAACCUCUUUCAGCAGGGACGAAGCGCAAGUGACGGUACCUGCAGAAGAAGCACCGGCCAACUACGUG
RNAcentral lists this ribosomal RNA (463 nucleotides) under uncultured bacterium. RNAcentral describes it as "partial 16S ribosomal RNA". It matches the Rfam family "Bacterial small subunit ribosomal RNA", at positions 28 to 507 of the family's 1533-position model. The record is from RNAcentral.